GAGGAAUUUUCCGCAAUGGGCGCAAGCCUGACGGAGCAAUGCCGCGUGUGUGAAGAAGGUCUUCGGAUUGUAAAGCACUUUCGACGGGGACGAUGAUGACGGUACCCGUAGAAGAAGCCCCGGCUAACUUCGUGCCAGCAGCCGCGGUAAUACGAAGGGGGCUAGCGUUGCUCGGAAUGACUGGGCGUAAAGGGCGCGUAGGCGGCUUGUACAGUCAGAUGUGAAAUUCCCGGGCUUAACCUGGGGGCUGCAUUUGAUACGUGCGGGCUGGAGUGUGAAAGAGGGUCGUGGAAUUCCCAGUGUAGAGGUGAAAUUCGUAGAUAUUGGGAAGAACACCGGUGGCGAAGGCGGCGACCUGGUUCAUUACUGACGCUGAGGCGCGAAAGCGUGGGGAGCAAAC
This 400-nucleotide ribosomal RNA is filed under the name uncultured bacterium. Its description in RNAcentral is "bacterial SSU rRNA". It matches the Rfam family "Bacterial small subunit ribosomal RNA", at positions 356 to 773 of the family's 1533-position model. The record is from RNAcentral.